RNAcentral lists this ribosomal RNA (451 nucleotides) under uncultured bacterium. RNAcentral's name for it is "bacterial SSU rRNA". It matches the Rfam family "Bacterial small subunit ribosomal RNA", at positions 24 to 518 of the family's 1533-position model. The record is from RNAcentral.
UCAGAACGAACGCUGGCGGCAGGUCUUAGGCAUGCAAGUCGAACGGGUGUAGCAAUACAUCAGUGGCGCACGAGUGAGUAACGCGUGGGAAGCUACCCAUCACUGGAGAAUAACGUUUGGAAACGAACGCUAAUACCGCAUACGCCCGAAAGGGGAAAGAUUUAUCGGUGAUGGAUGUGCCCGCGUUGGAUUAGCUUGUUGGUGGGGUAACGGCCUACCAAGGCGAUGACCCAUAGCUGGUCUGAGAGGACGAUCAGCCACGCUGGGACUGAGACACGGCCCAGACUCCUACGGGAGGCAGCAGCUAAGAAUAUUGGACAAUGGGGGAAACCCUGAUCCAAGCCAUGCCGCGUGAAUGAAGAAGGCCUUCGGGUUGUAAAGUUCUUUUAGUAGUGAAGAUGAUGACAGUAGCUACAGAAAAAGCACCGGCUAACUUCGUGCCAGCCGCCGC